RNAcentral lists this ribosomal RNA (386 nucleotides) under uncultured organism. RNAcentral describes it as "bacterial SSU rRNA". It matches the Rfam family "Bacterial small subunit ribosomal RNA", at positions 45 to 433 of the family's 1533-position model. The record is from RNAcentral.
UGCCUUACACAUGCAAGUCGAACGGCAGCGCGGGGCAACCUGGCGGCGAGUGGCGAACUGGUGAGUAAUAUAUCGGAACGUACCCUGGAGUGGGGGAUAACGUAGCGAAAGUUACGCUAAUACCGCAUACGAUCUAAGGAUGAAAGUGGGGGCUUCGCAAGAACCUCAUGCUCCUGGAGCGGCCGAUAUCUGAUUAGCUAGUUGGUAGGGUAAAAGCCUACCAAGGCUUCGAUCAGUAGCUGGUCUGAGAGGACGACCAGCCACACUGGAACUGAGACACGGUCCAGACUCCUACGGGAGGCAGCAGUGGGGAAUUUUGGACAAUGGGCGCAAGCCUGAUCCAGCAAUGCCGCGUGAGUGAAGAAGGCCUUCGGGUUGUAAAGCUC